UACAGAGGUCGCAAGCGUUGUUCGGAUUUACUGGGCGUAAAGGGUGCGUAGGCGGUCGGGUAAGUCUGAUGUGAAAUCUCACAGCUUAACUGUGAAACUGCAUUGGAUACUAUCCGGCUCGAGGAAUGGAGGGGAGACUGGAAUACUUGGUGUAGCAGUGAAAUGCGUAGAUAUCAAGUGGAACACCAGUGGCGAAGGCGAGUCUCUGGACAUUUCCUGACGCUGAGGCACGAAAGCCAGGGGAGCGAACGGG
Molecule: ribosomal RNA, 253 nt
Filed under: uncultured bacterium
Lineage: Bacteria
Description: partial 16S ribosomal RNA
Rfam family: Bacterial small subunit ribosomal RNA
Source: RNAcentral